Long non-coding RNA from Melitaea cinxia (Glanville fritillary), 570 nucleotides. RefSeq lists it as uncharacterized. The transcript is spliced from 4 exons. The record is from RefSeq and is a predicted model, not a curated record. NCBI's taxonomy places the organism in Eukaryota, Metazoa, Arthropoda, Insecta, Lepidoptera, Nymphalidae.
CAUUGAAAUCAAAGUUAAAGAAAUGAUUUUGUUGUCAGUUAUGGCAUGCACAGCAAGUUCGAUUCAGAUCACGUACCAAAUACAGUGGAUGUCAUAACUUGCCCUGCUUCUGUUUGAUUCAGAAAAGAUACAAUAGGAGGAGAACAUCGAUACUAAGAAAACACCUGUUCGUCCAUUGAAGCUAUCUUUGUUUUACCGUACAGCUUGAAAGAAAUUUAGAUGUUGAAGAAAACAAGAAAUGGUCUCAGUGUUAGCCUACAUCUUUAAGAUCAAAUAAGCAUCCAUCCGGCUUUGUCUAUACUAAAACCUAAAAAACUUUUCGAGAAAGUAGCAAAGUGAAAUUAGAAAUUAUUAAAUUACAAAAGACUAUUUUUGAAGAGGAAUUAAUCAAUAAUAGAAAGAAAUUCAGCCUUGAAGAAAAAGAAAUGGAGCAAUGACAGAAAGAAUGGGAGGAACAAAAAAGAGGUGGAGCUUCGAAGAAGAAGAAAGGCAACACAAGAGGGAAAUAUGAGCAUUGGAGAAAGAAAUAAUGUUAUAAAAAUUAAAAGAAUAAUCAAACCAUUAUAUAUA